GGCAUCUGUCCCCGCGACGGCUCCUCCCUGUGUGGUGCGGUCAGUGGGAGCCUCCCAGCAGGCUGGCUGCAGACCUGGCUGGCCGAGUCACCAACUGCCGCCUCCCAUGGGCUGUGGUCACCUGGACAGUCUGGGGCCGGGGGCUGGAGCACGACCCUCCCUGGAGGUGUGGCUGAGCUACCCAGCACUGCCCCAGCGACCAUUUAACCUCCUCUCAGGGUUCCCAGAGCAAAGACAAAAGCGUCCCUGUGUAUAAUUAACCGUCGACUCCAUCCUAGACGUGGGGACAUUGUCACAGUCUCGCCAGCCCCGGAAGGACAGGCAAAUUGCCCUGUUUUCCUCUGGGACCAGAACACUGGAAGUUCCCGCCGGCCACCAAGGGCCACGUGAUGAAGCUUCAGGCCUCGGUGGAGUGGCCAAACGCAACAGUGCCUAAGGGCCACCACUUACGAGACGUUUAGACAGGCGAAACUCACCGAUGGUUCCAGAAUUCAUGACCCAGUGUCCCGUGGGUGGCACAUAGGGAGGCCCAGGUGGGCACAGUCCACGGUGGGGGUGACAUUCUGUUCCUAUGUCCAUGAGCUGGUGAUAUGGGUCUGCUCAGUUUAAGAAAUUUACUGAGCUGACGUUCAUGAUGUCAGCAGGUUUUUAUGAACUGUUAAUUUUCAAUAAGGAAGGGGUCUACUAAAGAUGUAAGAUGGACAAAUGAGACAGAUCACAGGAAAACACGCUAAAAGAUGACA
Molecule: long non-coding RNA, 743 nt
Filed under: Marmota monax (woodchuck)
Lineage: Eukaryota; Metazoa; Chordata; Mammalia; Rodentia; Sciuridae
Source: RNAcentral